AUGUGGGUGUGUCCCCCCCAACCCAUGUGUGUCUUGUGCUGUCAUCAAGCAAGGGUUGGCUUUAGUGGCAGGAGAGCAUUCGCUCAUGAAAAACCCUCCAGUCUCUGUGGCAUUUUUCAACCGUCUUUAAACCUUCCCCACUCCCAUUAUUUUAUUUCAAACUGGCAGCAACCUGGUGAAGAGGCACCAGCCACUGAGAGGCAGAAGCUGGGGUGCACACGGCAGCCCACUGACCAGAGAACAUCCCCACCCAGCACAUGCGGGGUGCGGCCUUCUGUGGACCCCAGGCAUUGUGAGCCAAAGGCCUCACCAUCCUGUCCCUGGAAGCUGGACACAGAUGUUCUGGACAAGCCUGCAGGAACCCUCAAGGCAGCAGCCAGAUGUGCCAGGAGCCACAGCUGGAGGGGUGGUCAGUCCGGGGAGCAGGUGGAUGACAGACUGGGCUGCUGGGAAGCUGAAAUUCAGUGCUGUGGAACAGGCGGGGCUUCUGGGACACAGGAGGCUGGGAAUUAAUGUUAACACUGUUCUGGUGAAGACUUUCUGUGUUGAUAAAUAAUUCAUAAGGCAGUUAGCGCUCCGAGUCUGACAACACGAGAAUAUAUUAAUACAGUCGACUCCACGAAAGGUCAGCCGCACGCGGCGGGCGGGGCCGGGGCCGCCUUUUAUGCGUUCUCUGACACGGGCUCGUUCGUCAUUCCAGCCCAGCAAGGGCUGCGCCUGGAGAGCCGCUCAUGAGGGAAAGUGGGAGCAGGGCGGCGUGACACGUAGUCCGCGGGGCAGAGGGAGAGGGGCCUGAGGUGAGGCCCCCGAGACCGGAGCAGAGGGUCCCCUGCCCCUGCAGCUUGCGUGGGGCCGGGGAUGGGCGGGGAGAGUCGCACAGGGACCCCCAGCACUGCUGGCCAUCCCCAGGCGUUGGUGGUGCCCUCACUGUGGUCCAGGUGCCGCUCCAGGCCCCAAGGUCAGAGGAUUCAAGAAAACCCAGAAGUCCCUGCUCUGGUGGGGGCCACGGAGGGAGGGGCAGAUGGGAAAGAGAAGUCAGAGGUGUGGUGUGUCAGCAGAGUGCACGGAGCCAAUGAAGCCGGAAGGGGAGAGGGUGUGGCGGGGCGCCAGUGUAGGUCUGGAGGAGCAGCCUGGCCUCUUGGGGUACCUGGGGGACGGGCUCUCCUCAGGGGACCAGCAUGAAAGGGCCCCGCCCAUUGUGUG
RNAcentral lists this long non-coding RNA (1203 nucleotides) under Camelus dromedarius (Arabian camel). RNAcentral's name for it is "lncRNA (ENSCDRG00005015131.1)". The record is from RNAcentral. Lineage: Eukaryota; Metazoa; Chordata; Mammalia; Artiodactyla; Camelidae.